CCGGAAUCCGAAUCAUCAGAAGGGUUCUACGAACAGGUCAAGGAGUUGAGAGAAAGAUGCAAGCAGCUCCCUGCUGAAUAUUUCGUUGUGUUGGUUGGAGAUAUGAUCACAGAGGAAGCUCUGCCAACGUACCAGACAAUGCUCAACACUCUAGAUGGUGUUAGGGAUGAGACUGGUGCAAGCCUCACUUCCUGGGCAACUUGGAUUAGGGCUUGGACUGCCGAAGAAAACAGACACGGUGACCUUCUCAAUAAGUAUCUCUACCUCUCUGGCUGUGUAGACAUGAAGCAGAUUGAGAGAUCCAUUCAGUAUCUUAUCCGCUCAGGAAUGGUAACAUCUGUCAAUCUUUCUUCUUUACUUCCUUAGUGUCUUACCCUUAAUUAUAGGGUAAAUACUUGUUUAGUUCUUAGGAUUUUGGCCAAUAUUACCUACUUAGCUUUUCUAUUUUUUAAAAAAUUAUUCAAACAUUUCUAUAAAUGUUACUUCCAUUUUUAUAGCUGUUGAAUUUUUUGACUGAUAUAUAUAUAUAUAUAUAUGUAUGUAUGUAUUAAAAUUAAAAAGAAAAGAUAGAGAAUUAUUAAGUAGAUUUUAAUGAAAACUAGUAUACAAUCGGGAUAUUUUGCAAUGUUUUUAAUAAAAAAAUAACUGGUCAAUUGACUUAAACUUUAUGGAUGAAUAAUUGAAAAAAAAAAAUCUAUAAUUAAAAGAGCAUUUUACAUGUACUCAUUUACUCAAAAGUCCAAAAUAUCACUAUUGUUUGUGUGUGUUUCCUGAAUUGUUCUCUACGUUUAACUUGUUAAAUUUUAGUAAUAUUUUGAGUAAUUUUUUUAAAUAACUACUCUAAAGUGUAAGGACUAAAGACGAAUUUAUCCAUAUACUUUUCAAAAUUUAAUUUGAUGUGAUCUAUUGUAGGACCCUAAAUUUGAAAACAAUCCGUACAAUGGAUUCAUCUACACAUCAUUCCAAGAAAGAGCAACAUUCAUAUCACAUGGCAACACAGCGAGGCUAGCCAAGGAGCACGGGGACAUGAAGCUAGCACAAAUUUGUGGCGUCAUUGCCUCUGAUGAGAAACGCCAUGAACUUGCCUACACCAAGAUUGUUGAAAAGCUCUUUGAAAUCGACCCGGACGACGCCAUCUUAGCAUUAGCAGGCAUGAUGAAGAAAAAGAUCAAAAUGCCGGCAUAUUUGAUGUAUGAUGGGCAAAAUGAUAAAAUUUUUUAUCACUUCUCAGCUGUUGCACAAAGGCUCGGAGUGUACACUGCCAAGGACUAUGCUGAUAUCUUGGCGUUUCUGAUUGAGAGAUGGGAAGUGGAGAAGUUGAUGGGUCUUACAAGUGAAGGGCGUAAAGCUCGGGAUUUUGUGUGUGGAUUGCCUUCGAGGAUUAGAAGAUUGGAGGAUAAAGCUCAGGCAAAUAUGGCUAAGAAAGCGUGCAGUACUGUUCCUUUCAGCUGGGUUUUUGGCAAAGAUAUAAGGGUUUAAUUAAGGGCUUCUUAUGGCUGUAUGCCUAUUUAUUAAUAGCCAAAUUGAACACUUGCCUUCUAAAGCAACUUCUUUUUGUUUUUAUUUUCGUUUAAAGGAUGUUGAGGAUUAGUUUAUUAAUAAAUAUUAGCGAUAGAGGAAUAGAGAGUGCAAUGGAGCUAGCUAGGGGUGGCCGCCUAUGUUUUUGGUUGGCGAAACCGCGAAAGUACUCACGAGGAGAGUACGAGUCAGGUCGAUUCAAAGACCUAGUCAAGGGGGCGAUCAGCGUAUUCCCGCGAAAGAUCUGGACACGAAGCCCACUCACUAGCAGUUAUGCUACCCGCUCAUCAGCAGUUGCAUUUCCCACUCACCCACGAUCGUACAACUGACUAUCGUGGGGGGAGAGAGGAAGUCGGUAAUUCCAGCUAAGUAUAAAAGCCAAGAGGACGAAGGUAACUAGGUAAGGGGGUUGGACAAUUUUUUACUAGACUUCCGUAUAUUUACUCUUGUUAAAAUAUUCGGUGUUUAUUUCCAUCCUUUCUUUCCUUUUCUGAACUUAAAGAUUUUCACCCAAAUUAGUUGUAAUUGAGCCACGAUUGUUUGUGGCAAAAGUUUUCUCCACAAUACCCAAUUAAUGACUUGAGGCGUUGGAGGGUUUUCACAGGAAAAACAUCCGGCACCCCUCUAACUGGUUGUUGUGAGCGCGAGUAUUCUCGAGUGAAGUGCUCGUGGUCGUAGGUUUCUGCUCAACAGUGAAACAUCAGCACAAAAUCAUAUCUCUAGCAACUACAAAUUCAAGUGUUGGUGUGACUUUCUGGUCGUUACGCAACUUGACCAUAAUUAAGCAUCAACAUUCGGUUUGAUUUAUAUGGUUCAGUUCAUGAAAUUUAAUAAUUUUUUUCUUUUAUAUUAACCAAAUUUUAUAUUUUCACCAAAAUGGAUUAUAUUUUUUUAAGUUCAAUUAAAUUAUAAUUACUAAUCAUUCAUCUUUUAUGCAAAAAUACUAAUAAAAAAUAUUAUUGUAUAUAUAAAUUGAAAUUUUUCUUUUUUAAAAAAAAAAAUUAACAUUUAACCGAUUAGUUUUUAGUUUGAUUCAUUUCAAAACUAAAAAUCAAUUAGUUCACAUUUCUUAGUUCUGACUAAUCAAAACAAACUAACAUAUCGUUUCGAUUUAGUCAGAGCCGAACCGAAUGCCCACCCUUACUUCACGGAGCUUCUCCUAGUGCUUUUGUCAAGUGAAAUAAGAGUUAUCGCAAUUCAAUCCUUGCACUCUCAAAAAAAUAUCAUCAAAAGUAGAGUAAAUGCAAGCAAUUGAAUGUCUCAAUCAAAGACGAGGGAGGAUGUAUUUACUUAGUAUGUUGUUGGCGAGUUUCAUGGUAUAGAAGAGGCUACCUAUUCCACCAUGUUGCCUGUAUCGUUAAUAAUAAAAAAAGAAAAAUCUCAAAUUUGAAUCAAUCAAAUUCGAACCUAAUUUGUUUGAUUAUUGUGAGAGGAAGGCAAUAUUGGCCGAACCUAAUGGCAAAUUCUUGUAGUGACCACAUGCAGGCACGUGUGAAUCUUUUCGUGACCUUAUUAUUAUGUUGCUUUCUAAACAAGGGAAACGGAGCACGCCGCCUGCAUGUGGUCACUGCAAGGCAUAUUUCUUUAUUACCCAAAGUUUUUUCAAUUUGUUUGAUUACGCAAAGUUUGUUUAUUUAUUUUCCUCGUUCUAAAAGAGUAAGAUAAGAUAACACCAAGGCAUAUUUGAAAUUAACGCACAUAAGCACGUAAUAUGUAUGUAUCAUCAAAUAUAGUUUUUUACGUUUUUCUCAAGUUGGCAUAUAUAAAAUAGAAACGCAUGUGAAAUAAAUUUCAUGAAAGUGACAAAGAUCAAUAGCAUACGUAUGUAGCAAUGACACAUUCAUUUCUCACACAAGUCAGUGAAUAUUAGUGUGAAGUAGGGUGGGCAAAAAAAUCCGGCCGGGCCCAAGAAAAAAAAAUCCGAGUCAGGUCUAGGCCAAUUAUUUUUUAAAAAUAAAUUUAUAAAUUAGAAUAAUAUAAUUAAAAUUAAAAAGUAAUUUAAAAAUAUAAAAAAAAAACUUAAAUUCUUAACUUAUAAAUUAAUGAUGAUUCAAAAAAGCUAAAAUUAUGAUACUAAACUCUUUUUUUAUAUUAAUUAAUUAAGAGAGCGUUUGAAUUAGAGAAUACACUAUUAAAGAAAAUUAAAUUUAUGAACUUUUAUUUGAUUUAUUUAUUAUUUUACUUUAAAAAAUAUAUUUUUUAAUUUACCUAUAAUUAUAAUAACUUAUUGAACAUUAAUUUAUUUUAAAUCUACAACAAUUAAAAAAAUUUUAAAAAAUAAAUAAAGUCCAAAUGCAGCCCAGGCCCUCUCGCUAAAUGUAAAGUGGGUUUGGGCCUGAACUUAAAAACAUCCGACUGAAACUCACUGUUUGCCAUCCCAACGUGAAGUGUAUCGAUUUCAACUGUCUCUAUGGGAUCCUAUGCAUAUAUGCCGGCUAAUUAAGGGCGAGAACUCAUAUCUUAUACUUGUUCAAAAUUCUCCAACUUGAGAAUGUGUCUCAUCGAACAAACGUUAAUUGGACAGCAGGAUUAGUCGCGGUAGGUGUGGUGCAUGCUUUGGACUUUGGACUCUGGGAGGGUCCAGUUGUUGGGUGUGGGCCAACCUAACACAGCUUGGCUGGGUAUAACUUAGUGGAUGAUUUUAUCAUUUUCUUUAAAUAAAUUAGUUGAUGAAUAAGAACUCAAAAAAAAAAAAAAAAAGCCCACUUUUUCGUUCAAUUUUUUGUUAUUGAAAUAUAAUUAUAUUGAUAUUAAGAAGGUAUUAACCACUAGGUAAAUAUUCUUAAUAAGAUGAAAUUGUAAGGUAAUAUAAUAUUAAUUAAUUAAUUAAUUAGUAAAUAAUAAUAAUAAUAACAACAAUAAAUGGCAUCGACUACUGCUACUAGUAGUAAGCACAAAAGCAGACGAAAACAAAAGGAGGUUCAGCUAAUGGCCUAAAGCAAUGCAUUUUGCAGAAGGACCCACGGGAGGACGCACGUAGCGAGUGGGCCAUCUCAAAUAUCAAACAAAGCGACAAAAUCCACGUUUCGCUUCCUCAAGAUUCGACGGGAGAUCGCCAUUUCCUUUCUUUACCCCCAAUGUUUCCCACAUAUUACCAUAAGAAGGACAGAUGGCAGGUGUGAAAUUGAAACAAAAAAGCAGUGGCGUCUAAGAAGAAGAAGCUCUUUUCUUAAUGCCGCUGCCUUUUGCCAGCCUUUUGUGCACUUUGUCUGUUGCUAUAUAAUAAACAAUCGAAAAGGAAGUAACGCAAUUCCCUCUGCAUUGCCCUUUUAGCCUUCGCUUCGUGUUCGGUUUCAUUUCUCCCUGUUUUGUCUUGGCCAUUUCUUCGACACAUACGCAAGUAAAUUAAACUUUAUUUUAUUUUUUUCAAAAUAAUCAUCGUCAUCUUAUUCGAUAAAAACGAUAUCUUUUGAAAUAAACAUUUACAGCAAUGGCUUUGAAACUGAAUCCAACAACAUUCAGCUUCCCGUCGUCAUCAUCAUCAAUCCGCAAACACAGAUGUUCAAGAGUCUUCAUGGCAUCCACUCUUCCUCCUGCUAUCACCAAGUCAGUAUUUUUUUUCUUUUAAUUCCUCAUUUGCAUUUUAAUUUGGCAUGAACACGAUCAAAUAUUCGUAUUGUUAUUUUUCUUUAUCAUUAUACUGAUCUGGGUUGUUUGUGUUUUAUUCCAAAUGUUUUUUUUUUCCACUUUAUGGGUAUCAGCUAUUGGAUUACGAACGGUUUCUUGAAUGAUUUUAUUGAUCUGGGUUUUAGUAUUUACUAUUUAGUGCUAUGUGAGCUUGAUAUUGCUUUAAAUCAUGCGUGUCUUUUCCCUGAAUUGUAUUUGUCUUUUUGUGUAAGAUCAUUGAGAUUUUUUAGGGUCGGUCGAUUCUAUUUUGCUUUGGCAUUGGGAUUUGAUUCUUGCAUGUGGCUUCAAAUGGACGCUCUGUGUUUCUGCGUCCCUGUUUCUGGAUGAUGAUGGAAUUCAUUUUUCUGCUGUUCUAGCCCGGCAUCAUUUAUUUAUUUAUUUUUGUAUCUUGUUGAAUGUUUGCUGAAUUUUAUAUCUCUUGAUAUUGUAAGGGGUUUUUUUAUAUGCCUUGUUGCAUGUGGGGCUUUCUGUUUGUCUUUUUUUAUUGUGGGGACUAUUUAUUUAUUUAAUUAUUUUUCAUAGAUCAGAGUUAGGUGUGGUUUUGUGAGUUAACUUAUUCUUUUGGAACUUGGUCGUGUUGGUUGACUGGCUUUAUAUCUAUGUAUAUGUGGGCAAGAAUUCAAUUAAUCUAUUGUCAAUUACUCUUUGGUGGGAAAUACAUUCUUGUUUCAGUGUAGUGCAAAUUUUUCAUUGGAACUUGCUUGUAUCAUAUGAGGCUCUAUCAUUGCAUUGAGAUUCUAAUUUCCUUUCAUCUCGUUUGUAGCUAUUUCCAUCACUCACUCAAUUUGAAGAGUAAUUUGUGAUAACACAAGGUUUUGUUGGCUACUUUAGCAGCUAAGGAAAGGACUUACGAAUUGCUUACCAUUUGUCACACUUCUUAUUGCCAUCAUGUCAUCAUGUGUAUUAAGGGAAAAAAAAAAUCAGCCCUUUUUCCGUAUGAUAUAGGUGGUACAUAUGUAUUUUAAUAUAAUUGUUUUAUUGUAUUACAAUUUCCUCAACUCUAUAGAUGGCCAGGGUCUCUUUGUCGCUGAAAAUUAAUAUAUGGUUGUGAAACUUCCCUGUUUAGCUUAUACCAGUUUUUUGGUAUUUGGUUACUAAAUCCUUGACUUUGCUGUCAAUAUGGUAGUAGUUGGUGUUUAUAUGACGCCUUGGAUGUCGAUUUUUUUUUUUUCAAUUAUCCCUUAUCUGUUGCUGCUCAGCCUGUUCCAGAAGACAUAAAUAAUAAUAAUAAAAAAAAAAUGAAAUAAUCUGUUUUUUGUUCCCUUUUGUUUGCACCAAUUAUUGUUCUAUUUCCCUGGGUAAAAGCCUCUUAAACCCCCUCCUAGUGAAAUAUAUUUCUAACUUUCAAUUAGAAACUUCAUUUAUGCUUUUUUUGCUGUGUUCUGCUGGUUACAGAGAGGUUGAGAAUCUUAAGAAGCCGUAUUGCCCUCCAAGGGAGGUACACGUUCAAGUAACUCAUUCUAUGCCACAACAAAAGAUCGAGAUAUUCAAAUCUUUGGAGGGUUGGGCUGAGGAGAAUAUCUUGGUGCACCUAAAGCCUGUUGAGAAAUGUUGGCAACCCAUGGAUUAUCUGCCGGAACCUGAAUCGGAAGGAUUUUAUGAGCAAGUCAAGGAGUUGAGAGAAAGAUGCAAGGAAAUCCCUGAUGACUAUUUUGUGGUAUUGGUUGGAGAUAUGAUCACAGAAGAAGCCCUUCCUACUUACCAGACAAUGCUGAACACCCUAGACGGGGUUCGAGAUGAGACUGGUGCAAGCCUCACUUCUUGGGCAAUUUGGACUAGGGCUUGGACUGCUGAAGAAAACAGGCAUGGCGACCUUCUCAAUAAGUAUCUCUACCUAUCUGGACGUGUAGACAUGAAGCAAAUUGAGAAGACAAUUCAAUACCUGAUAGGAUCAGGAAUGGUGAGAUUCUCCUUUCCUAUUACUAAAUUCUAUAUAAGAGGACAAGCUUCUUCUGUUGUCUAUGCUGUGCACUUGAUUUUUCAGUAUUUAUGAGUUUGUUGUUUUCUUAGGAUCCUAAAACAGAAAACAACCCCUACCUUGGUUUCAUCUACACUUCAUUCCAAGAGAGGGCAACAUUUAUCUCCCAUGGGAACACAGCCAGACAUGCCAAGGAUUAUGGAGACUUGAAACUUGCACAGAUAUGUGGCAUCAUUGCCUCUGAUGAGAAACGCCAUGAAACUGCCUACACCAAGAUUGUGGAGAAGCUCUUUGAAAUUGAUCCAGAUGGCACUGUCAUGGCUUUAGCUGAUAUGAUGAAGAAGAAAAUAUCAAUGCCCGCCCAUUUAAUGUAUGAUGGCCGGGAUGAUAACCUAUUUGAACACUUCUCAACAGUUGCCCAGCGGCUCGGAGUCUACACUGCAAAGGACUAUGCUGACAUUUUGGAAUUUCUGGUGGGUAGAUGGAACAUAGAAAAGUUGACGGGUCUUUCGGGAGAGGGCCGUAAAGCUCAAGAUUUUGUUUGUGGUUUGCCUCCAAGAAUUAGAAGGUUGGAGGAGAGAGCUCAGGGAAGGGCCAAGCAAGCAUCCGCUGUACCGUUCAGCUGGGUGUUCGGCAG
This 7700-nucleotide long non-coding RNA is filed under the name Citrus sinensis (sweet orange). RNAcentral's name for it is "long non-coding RNA (CSIN_LNC001398)". The record is from RNAcentral. Lineage: Eukaryota; Viridiplantae; Streptophyta; Magnoliopsida; Sapindales; Rutaceae.